GGGAUAGACACACAGGCGCUCGAGCACACACACACACACACACACACACACACACACACACACACACACAUCCGCCCGCACAGAGACCCCUCCCCUACACAAGCUUCCCUCCGGGAUUUCGGGGCUGAACUCCCCGCGUGAACUCUCUUGGAUCACCCCUGCUCUUCUCCCAGCCCCAGGAAAAACAACGUAAGAACAAAGAGAAGAAGGUCGUCUAUGAGGCAGAAGAUGAGCUCUCACCAGAAACCUGAUUAUCAGACACCUUGAUCUUGGACUUUCCAGCUGUUGGAAGAGUGAGAAAUAACUUUUGGUUGUUGAAAAGACCAGAAAUUGAAAGAUUGGAACCUUGAAAGACUGAAUUGAAAAUUGAAGCAGAAAUGGAGAGCCAGGAGGAGGAAUGAAUCUAAAUAGUAGAGACAAGAGUUGUUAAUAAUUAUACUACACAGAUAUCUCCCAUAACAAAGAAUUAUUCAGAUGGAAACAUCACUAAACCUGAAAUUAAGGCCUUUUUGGUAGUGUUUUUACAAUACCAACUUAGUUGGCAUCUUAAGUACAUCUUGGCUUCUAAAAAGGAAAGUAUAAUCUAGAGUUGUGAGUGUGACUGGUUUCUGUGUUCUGUGUACUUCUUUUCGUUAACCUUGCUAGUUUUUGUGGUACAAAGCUUUCAGAAUUUUACAGACUUUGACUACGUGAUUUAUCAUUAUUGAGAAAGCUGUGUUUAAAUCUUCUGGUAUGUAGAUUAGCGGAGCACUCCCUAUACUUCUGUCAGCUCUUGCUUUAAAUAAUUUGAGGUUAUAUUUUUAGGUGGCACAGAAUUAGAAUUCUUAUGUCUUUCAGGUGAAUUGAAGUGUUUAUCAUCUUUUAGAAACUAUCAUUUUUGCUAAGUAUUAAAAUGUUAAGUUUAUUUUGUCUCAUCUAUUUUUAGAAACAUGCUUGACAUCCUGUUUUAUUAUGUAUCUAUUGAUCUAUUGUAAGCCUUACCCUAUAUUUCUUUUGUCUUAUUAGUGUCACUGAAUUUUAGGGUGUAUCUUGUGAAUAGCAUGAGGUUCCAUUUGUUUGGAAUCCAGUUGUGUAUUCUUCGUGGCUUAAAAAAGUUAUUUAUUUCAACUACAUAUUUCUUUAUUUCUAUAUAUCAUCUACUAUUGUGAUUUUAUUGAUACUUUAUGUUUUAUAGUUAAGUGUCUCUAUAGUUUAUAUUACUUUACUUUGCCUAUAAUACUUACAACUUCUUUUAAUCACCCCUUAACAUUGCAAUGAAGACUAAAAGGUAUUUACUACUUCUAUGAUCCUUUCUACAUUCCCAAACAGCUAAACUGAAGGGGCCUAGACUUAAGUUUUUCCUCAAGUAAUGAUUGCUUUCUUCAUGUAAAUCAUUAUAAUUGAUUCCUUAAUCAUUAUUUCACAAUGAUUAAGGCAUCAUUGGCUCACAGUUGCCCUCUUCAAUCCGAUUCUACUUUGUACCUGUUAUUUUGAUGUCUACACCAUUCAUUAACAGUUUCUUAAAUUUUGGCAAAAGGUUGAGGUCAACAUUGUGUUUUUUGGUUCUUACUUCUGGGAUCAACAAUAUCUCCAAAGAGACUAGUUAAUAUGAAAGAUUCUAUACAACUGGCAAGAUGCAGACAUGAACUAUGAGCAUUGUUCUAUAUGUUUUAUGAUUUUUGUCCUUGUAAGUAAACAGUAAAUGUGUGUAUAUGUAUAUACAAUAAAUAUUUUUGUAUAUGACACACUUACAAACAUAUACCCACUAUUAUCCACUAAUCUACUGAAAUAUUGUGAAUCUAUACGUGUGAAUUUAUUUCUACUUUCAAUAAAAUAACAAUUAUAAUCAUUGUAAAUAAUUGAUUUUCUUUCUGUUUCUUGAAUAGUGAGAAAGCUAACUUCCAGCAAUCUCAGUAUAUUUAUUAACUGUCUAGCUCCUUUUGUGUGAGUAAUAUCCACAUAAGCUGUAACAUCAUUGCCCUUGACCUUGGUUCUGAUACUGUCAUUGCCUCCUUAGUUGACUGCCAUCAGAGAGCCCAAUACCACCAUCACCUCUGGACCACACUGCUUCUCUACCCUCUGAUCUGCUGAUCUUUGGAACUUUCUAAAGUGCACCCCAAACCUCUGUCUUAAAGGAAAUUGAAGCAAUGGAAAGGAAAAGAAAACAGCAGGAUACUGAAACUCGGAAGUGAAGUUUUUCAGGAUAUUUAAAUAUUUAAAUCAGGUUUCAAUAUCCCACUUCUAUCACUGUUAUUCUCAUUUGCUUAAGUAUAAAAAAAAUCUUAUU
Long non-coding RNA from Peromyscus leucopus (white-footed mouse), 2266 nucleotides. RefSeq lists it as uncharacterized. The transcript has 3 exons. Lineage: Eukaryota; Metazoa; Chordata; Mammalia; Rodentia; Cricetidae. The record is from RefSeq and is a predicted model, not a curated record.